AAAAAUUUAGUUAAAAAAUAACGUUAGUUUGUCAAACUAAAAUUAUUAUUAAAUAAUAAUUUUUA
RNAcentral lists this transfer RNA (65 nucleotides) under Trichochrysea japana. RNAcentral describes it as "tRNA-Asp". The record is from RNAcentral. Lineage: Eukaryota; Metazoa; Arthropoda; Insecta; Coleoptera; Chrysomelidae.